UACGUAGGGGGCAAGCGUUGUCCGGAAUUAUUGGGCGUAAAGAGCGCGUAGGCGGUCCGAUAAGUCGGCUGUGAAAGUCAGGGGCUCAACCCUUGAAAGCCGGCCGAUACUGUCGGACUAGAGUCCGGAAGAGGCAAGUGGAAUUCCCGGUGUAGCGGUGAAAUGCGCAGAUAUCGGGAGGAACACCAAUGGCGAAGGCAGCUUGCUGGGACGGUACUGACGCUGGAGG
This 229-nucleotide ribosomal RNA is filed under the name uncultured bacterium. Its description in RNAcentral is "partial 16S ribosomal RNA". It matches the Rfam family "Bacterial small subunit ribosomal RNA", at positions 524 to 751 of the family's 1533-position model. The record is from RNAcentral.